CUCUUAUAGAAAAUUAUUAUAAGUAUAACCUGCUCAAUGAUUUUUUAAAUAGCCGCAGUUUUCUGUGCUAAGGUAGCAUAAUCAUUUGUUCUUUAAUUAAGGACUAGAAUGAAUGGUUAUACAUUAAAUUUCUGUCUCAAUUUAUAUCUAAAUGAAAUUAUUUUAAAUAUAAAAAAAUAUUUAUUAAAAAAAAAGACGACAAGACCCUAUCAAACUUUACUAAAGUUAAGCUGGGGAAGCUUAUUAAUAAUAAUUUAAUUUAUAAAUAUAAAACUAAUUUAACCCACUAUAUAGUGAUAAAUUGAUUAAGUUACUGUAGGGAUAACAGCGUAAUAAGUUUUAAAAGUUCAUAUUUAAAAAUAAGUUUACGACCUCGAUGUUGAAUUAAUAAUUCUUUAACAAUGCAACCAUUUUAAUAAGAAGGUCUGUUCGACCUUUAAAUUAUUACG
The sequence is a ribosomal RNA, 449 nucleotides long. It matches the Rfam family "Bacterial large subunit ribosomal RNA", at positions 1831 to 2600 of the family's 2925-position model.